UAACUGAAGAGUUUGAUCAUGGCUCAGAUUGAACGCUGGCGGCAGGCUUAACACAUGCAAGUCGAGCGGGGGAAGGUAGCUUGCUACUGGACCUAGCGGCGGACGGGUGAGUAAUGCUUAGGAAUCUGCCUAUUAGUGGGGGACAACAUCUCGAAAGGGAUGCUAAUACCGCAUACGUCCUACGGGAGAAAGCAGGGGAUCUUCGGACCUUGCGCUAAUAGAUGAGCCUAAGUCGGAUUAGCUAGUUGGUGGGGUAAAGGCCUACCAAGGCGACGAUCUGUAGCGGGUCUGAGAGGAUGAUCCGCCACACUGGGACUGAGACACGGCCCAGACUCCUACGGGAGGCAGCAGUGGGGAAUAUUGGACAAUGGGGGGAACCCUGAUCCAGCCAUGCCGCGUGUGUGAAGAAGGCCUUAUGGUUGUAAAGCACUUUAAGCGAGGAGGAGGCUACUUUAGUUAAUACCUAGAGAUAGUGGACGUUACUCGCAGAAUAAGCACCGGCUAACUCUGUGCCAGCAGCCGCGGUAAUACAGAGGGUGCGAGCGUUAAUCGGA
RNAcentral lists this ribosomal RNA (554 nucleotides) under Acinetobacter baumannii. RNAcentral's name for it is "bacterial SSU rRNA". It matches the Rfam family "Bacterial small subunit ribosomal RNA", at positions 1 to 549 of the family's 1533-position model. The record is from RNAcentral. Lineage: Bacteria; Pseudomonadati; Pseudomonadota; Gammaproteobacteria; Moraxellales; Moraxellaceae.